Molecule: unclassified non-coding RNA, 283 nt
Filed under: Melitaea cinxia (Glanville fritillary)
Lineage: Eukaryota; Metazoa; Arthropoda; Insecta; Lepidoptera; Nymphalidae
Description: misc RNA ENSMCXG00005001366.1
Source: RNAcentral
UAUCAUUAUAGUAAAAUUUUUGUUAACGAUCCGUAUAAUGGUCGUUGCGGGAACGUUUUUAAUAACUGGUGCUCUUAUGGUUACACUUUAUUUAGGUGUGAAAUAUUUGAUAGACAUGGAUAGUCAGAUAAAUGACAUACCAAUUACGAAUUUAACAGGAUUAGGGUAAUAUGUGAUCGUAAAUUUGACACCGUGCACUUGUUGUGGUUAUAAGUUAUAUAUUAUCAAUUUUGGUACCUAUUUCACAAUGUUAUAGAUUGUUAUGAAAAUUAUAUUUUUGUGA